GCCCGUAGCUCAGCAGGAUAGAGCACAGGAUUUCGAAUCCUGUUCAAUGUUGCGAGCCGGCAACUCUGAUGAGCGCCA
This 78-nucleotide transfer RNA is filed under the name Roseomonas genomospecies 6. RNAcentral's name for it is "tRNA-Arg". Lineage: Bacteria; Pseudomonadati; Pseudomonadota; Alphaproteobacteria; Acetobacterales; Roseomonadaceae. The record is from RNAcentral.